This 440-nucleotide ribosomal RNA is filed under the name uncultured bacterium. RNAcentral's name for it is "partial 16S ribosomal RNA". It matches the Rfam family "Bacterial small subunit ribosomal RNA", at positions 338 to 795 of the family's 1533-position model. The record is from RNAcentral.
CCUACGGGUGGCUGCAGUAGGGAAUAUUGCUCAAUGGGGGAAACCCUGAAGCAGCAACGCCGCGUGGAGGAUGAAGGUUUUCGUAUUGUAAACUCCUUUUGUUAGAGAAGAUAAUGACGGUAUCUCACGAAUAAGCACCGGCUAACUCCGUGCCAGCCGCCGCGGUAAUACGGAGGGUGCAAGCGUUACUCGGAGUGACUGGGCGUCAAGAGCGCGUAGGCGGGAUGGCAAGUCAGGUGUGAAAUCCUAGGGCGUAACCCUAGAACUGCAUUGGAAACUGUAAGGCUAGAGUAUAGGAGAGGUAAGUGGAAUUCGUGGUGUAGGGGUGAAAUGCGUAGAGAUCAGGAGGAAUACUAGUGGCGAAGGCGACUUACUAGAAUGUAACUGACGCUGAUGCGCGAAAGCGUGGGGAGCAAACAGGAUUAGAUACCCGAGUAGUC